RNAcentral lists this ribosomal RNA (2827 nucleotides) under Apibacter mensalis. RNAcentral describes it as "bacterial LSU rRNA". It matches the Rfam family "Bacterial large subunit ribosomal RNA". The record is from RNAcentral. Lineage: Bacteria; Pseudomonadati; Bacteroidota; Flavobacteriia; Flavobacteriales; Weeksellaceae.
AAGGAAAAGAAAUCGUUAAGGGCGUAUGGCGGAUGCCUAGGCUUCAAGAGGCGAAGAAAGACGUGGUAAGCUGCGAAAAGCUGCGGGGAUUGGCACACACGAAAUGAUCCGCAGAUAUCUGAAUGGGGCAACCCACUAUACAAGAGUAUAGUAUUCCCGUAAGGGGAGGCAAACCUUCCGAACUGAAACAUCUAAGUAGGAAGAGGAAAAGAAAUCAACAGAGAUUCCGAGAGUAGUGGCGAGCGAAAUCGGAAGAGCCCAAAAGUAUCUAUAUAGAUAACAGAAUGUUUUGGAAAGGACAACCGCAGAGGGUGAUAGUCCCGUAAGUGAAAUCUAUAUACAUAUGAAAAAGAGUAGGGCGGGACACGAGAAAUCCUGUCUGAAUAUGGGGGGACCAUCCUCCAAGGCUAAAUACUCCUUGAAGACCGAUAGCGAACAAGUACCGUGAGGGAAAGGUGAAAAGUAUUUCGAAAAGAAAGAUGAAAGAGACCCUGAAACCAUACGCCUACAAGCGGUCGGAGCAUCAAUAAGAUGUGACGGCGUGCCUUUUGCAUAAUGAGCCUACGAGUUAAUUUCACUAGCGAGGUUAAGUAGUUCAGCUACGGAGCCGGAGCGAAAGCGAGUCUGAAAAGGGCGAGGAGUUAGUGGGAUUAGACGCGAAACCUUGUGAUCUAUCCAUGGGCAGGUUGAAGCUUUGGUAACACAAAGUGGAGGACCGAACCGGUUGACGUUGAAAAGUCUUCGGAUGACCUGUGGAUAGGGGUGAAAGGCUAAUCAAACUGGGAGAUAGCUCGUACUCCCCGAAAUGCAUUUAGGUGCAGCGUUAAGAGAAGUAUACUAGAGGUAGAGCUACUGAUUGGAUGCGGGGGUUUCACCGCCUACCAAAUCCUGACAAACUCCGAAUGCUAUUAUAUGUUUCUUAGCAGUGAGGGCAUGGGUGCUAAGGUCCAUGUCCGAGAGGGAAAGAACCCAGAGCAACAGCUAAGGUCCCGAAAUGUAUACUAAGUUGGACAAACGAGGUCAGACUGCCUGGACAGCUAGGAUGUUGGCUUGGAAGCAGCCAUUCAUUUAAAGAGUGCGUAACAGCUCACUAGUCGAGCGGUUUGGCAUGGAUAAUACUCGGGCAUAAGUAUACUACCGAAGCUAUGCGAAAUUUAAAAUUUCGGUAGGGGAGCAUUCUAUAUGCGCAGAAUCUUUAAGGUGACUUAAAGUGGAGCGUAUAGAAAAGAAAAUGUAGGCAUAAGUAACGAUAAUGAAGGUGAGAAACCUUCACGCCGAAAAUCCAAGGUUUCCUCAGCUAUGCUAAUCAGCUGAGGGUAAGUCGGGACCUAAGGUGAAUCCGAGAGGAGUAAUCGAUGGGAAAUCGGUUAAUAUUCCGAUACCGGCUGUAAAUUCGAUGGAGUGACAGAGUAAUGACACUACCGCGUACUGACGGAAUAGUACGUUAAAGCAAGUAGGUAAAUCUGGGAUAGUAAAAUGCGUUUCGGAUGCCGAAUGUGAAAGUACCAGGAAGCUACGGUGGAAUGGAUAGUGUAGGUAAGAGCUCUCAAGAAAAACUUCUAAGGUAAGUUUACAGCGCCCGUACCAAAACCGACACAGGUGGAUGAGGAGAGUAUCCUAAGGCGCUCGAGUGAAUCAUGGUUAAGGAACUAGGCAAAAUAGACCUGUAACUUCGGGAGAAAGGUCGCUCCCAAUAAAAAGGGAGCCGCAGUGAAAAGGCCCAGGCGACUGUUUAUCAAAAACACAGGACUCUGCAAAAUCGCAAGAUGAAGUAUAGGGUCUGACACCUGCCCGGUGCUGGAAGGUUAAGGAAGGAGGUAAGCGUCAAGCGAAGCCUUUGACUGAAGCCCCAGUAAACGGCGGCCGUAACUAUAACGGUCCUAAGGUAGCGAAAUUCCUUGUCGGGUAAGUUCCGACCUGCACGAAUGGUGUAACGAUCUGGGCACUGUCUCAACCAUGAGCUCGGUGAAAUUGUAGUAUCGGUGAAGAUGCCGAUUACCCGCAAUGGGACGAAAAGACCCUGUGAACCUUUACUAUAGCUUCGUAUUGACUUCGGGUAAAUGAUGUGUAGGAUAGGUGGGAAACUGUGAAUCGGCUUCGCCAGGAGUCGAGGAGUUGACGUUGAAAUACCACCCUUUAUUUAUCUGGAGCCUAACUUCUGAACAAGAAGGACAUUGCGUGGUGGGUAGUUUGACUGGGGUGGUCGCCUCCAAAAGAGUAACGGAGGCUUUCAAAGGUACCCUCAGCACGCUUGGCAACCGUGCGCAGAGUGUAAUGGCAUAAGGGUGCUUGACUGCAAGACCGACAAGUCGAGCAGGUGCGAAAGCAGGACAUAGUGAUCCGGUGGUUCCGUAUGGAAGGGCCAUCGCUCAUAGGAUAAAAGGUACUCCGGGGAUAACAGGCUAGUCUCCCCCAAGAGCUCACAUCGACGGGGAGGUUCGGCACCUCGAUGUCGGCUCGUCACAUCCUGGGGCUGGAGAAGGUCCCAAGGGUUGGGCUGUUCGCCCAUUAAAGUGGCACGCGAGCUGGGUUCAGAACGUCGUGAGACAGUUCGGUCUCUAUCUAUUGCGGGCGUAGAAUUUUGCGUGGAGUUGACUCUAGUACGAGAGGACCGAGUUGAACAAACCUCUGGUGUAUCAGUUGUGCCGCCAGGUUCACCGCUGAGUAGCUAAGUUUGGAAGAGAUAAGCACUGAAAGCAUAUAAGUGCGAAACUCGCCACAAGAUAAGAAUUCGAUAUAGGGUCGUGGGAGAUUACCACGUUGAUAGGCUACAGGUGUAAAGGCAGUGAUGUCAUAGCCGAGUAGUACUAAUUACCCGGAGAUUUCG